UAACGANUUAGAGAGUUGAUGCUGGUUAGUCUGACUACAUGUGCUCGCUCUCCUAAUCCCACUUACACCUGUGCACUUUAACUUUGGAGGGAGGGUAAAACCUGCCUUCGAAAUUCACAAACUCUCGUUUUUAAAUUAUGAAUGUUUAUCUGCCGCAAGGCAAAAUUUAAUACAACUUUUAACAACGGAUCUCUUGGCUCUCGCAUCGAUGAAGAACGCAGCGAAAUGCGAUAAGUAAUGUGAAUUGCAGAAUUCAGUGAAUCAUCGAAUCUUUGAACGCACCUUGCGCUCCCUGGUAUUCCGGGGAGCACGCCUGUUCGAGUGUCAUGAAACUCUCAAACAAAGUAGAUUUGUUUCUACCUCUGUUUGGAUUUGGACUCUGCUGCGUCAAUGCGGCUGGUCUUAAAUAUAUUAGCUGAUCCUAGCGAAGGUUUGGUUCUACUCAGCAUGAUAAUUAUCUGAUGUUGAGGACAGUCUUAGGACUGGCCAGGCUCUCUAUGGAUUGCUUUCUAAUCGUCUUUGGACAAUCAUUCAAUAUCUGACCUCGAAUCAGGUGGGACUACCCGCUGAACUUAAGCAUAUCAAUAAAGCGGGAAGGAAAAGAAACUAACAAGGAUUCCCCUAGUAACGGCGAGUGNAAGCGGGAUGAGCUCAAAUUUAAAAUCUUGGUAGUCUUUUGGCUGCCCGAGUUUGUAAUCUAGAGAAGCGUUUUUCUGUGCUGGG
Molecule: ribosomal RNA, 723 nt
Filed under: uncultured Cantharellales
Lineage: Eukaryota; Fungi; Basidiomycota; Agaricomycetes; Cantharellales
Description: eukaryotic LSU rRNA
Rfam family: 5.8S ribosomal RNA (bases 174-327)
Source: RNAcentral